RNAcentral lists this transfer RNA (82 nucleotides) under Coniophora puteana RWD-64-598 SS2. RNAcentral describes it as "tRNA-Ser (CGA) (tRNA-Ser-CGA-1-1)". It matches the Rfam family "tRNA". Rfam says of the family: Transfer RNA (tRNA) molecules are approximately 80 nucleotides in length. The record is from RNAcentral. Lineage: Eukaryota; Fungi; Basidiomycota; Agaricomycetes; Boletales; Coniophoraceae.
GGCACUAUAGCCAAGUGGUUACGGCGACAGAUUCGAAAUCUGUUCCUCUUUGAGGGCGCAGGUUCGAAUCCUGCUGGUGUCG